Molecule: non-coding RNA, 73 nt
Organism: Panthera uncia (snow leopard)
Lineage: Eukaryota; Metazoa; Chordata; Mammalia; Carnivora; Felidae
Source: the annotation of a RefSeq genome assembly
GCCUGGCUGGCUCAGCCGGUACAGCAUGGGACCCAUGAUCUCGGGGUCGUGAGUUCAAGCCCCACGUUGGGCA